This is a long non-coding RNA of Cephus cinctus (wheat stem sawfly), 1377 nucleotides long. RefSeq lists it as uncharacterized. The transcript has 3 exons. The record is from RefSeq and is a predicted model, not a curated record. Lineage: Eukaryota; Metazoa; Arthropoda; Insecta; Hymenoptera; Cephidae.
CUCGACAAAGCCGAAACUUACGUCCGCCAUGAGAAUCCCAUAAGGGGCGUAGGCGAGUUUUUGAAGCGGCACCAUGGAACGGAUAGAAGACGAGGAAGGAGGAGAAGGAUGAAGAAUAAGUAUAAGAGAGCGUGGGCCGCGUGGAUGUAUAGUGUAGAACUCUGAAGCGCAUCAGCAUUCAAAGUACUUGGGGGAAGAAGGAGGGCGCGGCUCUUCAGGACAGAAGAGGAACAAAAACCCCCGAGAGGAGGAUGUUGCAUUAAUAUUUAUACGGGAAAAGAGGGCUAGGAGAAGGCGAGAUGGCUCGUGACGGAGAGAAAAGGGAGGAAAUACACGAGCCCGGUACCUCUGGCUGCUGGCUCCCGCCUGCGUCUCCUCGUAGGUCGCUGAAACGCGCGCGCGCGCGCGCUCACUGAAGGGCAAGAGGACUCAAGGGGACGAAAUGAAAUGCAAAUGCCUUAACGAGCCACUGAGGGACUGCCGGAGUGGCUCCUAGUCCCGGUCACGAAUGUACCUCAGUCUCAUCAACGGGCUUGUGAUAAUGCGACCCUGCCGAAUCCCCAACUUCACGGAUCUUCCACAGUUUCCACAAUUUCCUUUACACCGAUCGUUCAAGGACAAACCCAUCAUCCACGUAUCCACGAAUUGAAAGAUUCAUCUCGAGUGGCAUUAAUCGGAGGAUACAGAUGCCUAGUUCCGAUAAGUCGAGUGUGUUUAGGCGUCGGCAGCAAACGUAUUGUUCGCGAAUAUGCGAAGAAGGAAGAAUAAGAAAUAGGAUGGCACACGAGAAGGCAAAGGGGACGCCGAGCGUCGAAGGGACGCUGUUCUCGAAACGCCGCGACGGCCCGUUGGUCUCAAAGUCGAUAGCGUAUCGCUUUCACAGACCCAAAGGUUACCGAAUCGUUCCAAGACUAUCUUAAUGGCUGGAUAGAUCGUUUGAUACUAUGGCCGAGUCGUAAAGGCUAUUGCUCUGCCUUCCUUCUCUCCUUUCAGCCUCCCUUAUUCCGUACAGCUCGCGCGCGCUGCCACCCCUCGCCGCCUGACUUCCUACUUUCCCAUAGUCGCAACCCUUAGCCUUCUGGCAAACUGGCUUAGCGCCACCCAUAGAUGCCCCACACUCAUCCAGCCUCACCCACUACAUUUAUCCCUAGGACGGGUGAACUUGAACGGCACUACAGUCAAUCGACAAUCGACCGUCGACUUCUAGUAAUUAAUUACCAGGCUAUCGCUACCCUCUUAAAGACGAAUAAAAUACCCAGUUGUUAUUCAUUACGCUUGCGAUUCACGUUCAAGGCGAAUGCACGCUUCCACUUGAGAAAAAAAAUAGUGCGGAAUUUUUUUCCAGCCUGAAAUUGUGAUAUUCAGUGCUGUACCUAG